This is a long non-coding RNA of Salvelinus fontinalis (brook trout), 867 nucleotides long. RefSeq lists it as uncharacterized. The record is from RefSeq and is a predicted model, not a curated record. The transcript has 3 exons. NCBI's taxonomy places the organism in Eukaryota, Metazoa, Chordata, Actinopteri, Salmoniformes, Salmonidae.
UCUAUUAUAGACAUGGGAGGCUCAACAACUAUGCAAAACAGCACUCUAUAGGCUGCUGGGUGUGUGAAACAGGGGAAGGAGAGAGAGAGACAGAGAGAAAAAGAGAGAGCGACAGAGAGAAAAACAGACAGACAGACACACAGAAGGAGAAAGAAAGGAACAGAGAGAGAGAUACUUAUAUUACUAUUAUUUUGCUGUUGUGAGUCAUUCCAAUCUAGUGGUCAACUAUAGGAGGACAACCAAAUAUUGUAUUAAAGGGAUGAACCUCCCACUGGAAUUUUGUUGCUCUGAUGUUAAUGUCCGGGAUCCAAGACGAGACCAAUGGAGACAGUCCGGAGCCGCCAGAGUCUCCCUCCUGUCCGGAGCCGCCAGAGUCUCCCUCCUGUCCGGAGCCGCCAGAGUCUCCCUCUUGUCCGGAGCCGCCAGAGUCGCCCUCCUGUCCGGAGCUGCCAGAGUCACCCUCCUGUCCGGGGCCCACUGCAAGGGUCCCCAGUCCGGGGUCGGCGGCAAGGGUCCCCCACGUCCCGCGCCAGAGCCUCCUCCGCAGAUAUAUGCCCACCCAGACCCUCCCCUAUAAGUUUAGGUUUUGCGGCCGGAGUCCGCACCUUUGGGGGGGGGGGGGGUAUUGUCACGCCCUGACCUUAGAGAUCCUUUUUAUGUCUCAAAUUUUGGUUUGGUCAGGGCGUGAGUUGGGGUGGGCAUUCUAUGUCUGGUGUUCUAUGUUUUCUUUUUCUGUGUGUUUGGCCGGGUGUGGUUGUUUUCUGUUUUGUGUAUGCAACAGAUAGGACUAUUUCGUUUCAUUUACUCUCUUUGGUGUUUUUGUUAUUUCAGUGUUCAGUUUAUUUAUUAAAUUAACAUGAACAUUUC